CCUACGGGAGGCUGCAGUGAGGAAUAUUGGUCAAUGGGCGCGAGCCUGAACCAGCCAAGUCGCGUGAGGGAGGACGGCCCUACGGGUUGUAAACCUCUUUUGCCGGGGAGCAACGGGCGUCACGUGUGGCGCAACUGAGAGUACCCGGAGAAAAAGCAUCGGCUAACUCAGUGCCAGCAGCCGCGGUAAAACGGAGGAUGCGAGCGUUAUCCGGAUUUUUUGGGUUAAAAGGGUGCGUAGGCGGAUCGUUAAGUCAGUGGUCAAAGUGCGGGGCUCAACCCCUCCCCGCCAUUGAAACUGGCGCUCUUGAGUGGAAGAGAAGUAUGCGGAAUGCGUGGUGUAGCGGUGAAAUGCAUAGAUAUCACGCAGAACCCCGAUUGCGAAGGCAGCAUGCCGGCUUCCGACUGACGCUGAGGCACGAAAGCGUGGGGAUCGAACAGGAUUAGAUACCCUGGUAGUC
Molecule: ribosomal RNA, 460 nt
Filed under: uncultured bacterium
Lineage: Bacteria
Description: partial 16S ribosomal RNA
Rfam family: Bacterial small subunit ribosomal RNA
Source: RNAcentral